AGCAGCCGCGGUAAUUCCAGCUCCAAUAGCGUAUAUUAAAGUUGUUGCAGUUAAAAAGCUCGUAGUUGAAUUUCGGGAUCAAUCUAUCGGUCGUGCAAUAGUACGUACUGAUUUUAUUGAUUCCUCCCUUCUGAUGAACUAUGAUGUCAUUAAUUUGGUGUCAUAGGGAAUCAGGACUGUUACUUUGAAAAAAUUAGAGUGUUUAAAGCAGGCUCACGCUUGAAUACAUUAGCAUGGAAUAACGAAAUAGGACGUUUGAUUCUAUUUUGUUGGUUUCUAGGAUCGACGUAAUGAUUAAUAGGGAUAGUUGGGGGCAUUAGUAUUCAAUUGUCAGAGGUGAAAUUCUUGGAUUUAUUGAAGACUAACUACUGCGAAAGCAUUUGCCAAGGAUGUUUUCAUUAAUCAAGAACGAAAGUUAGGGGAUCGAAGACGAUCAGAUACCGUCGUAGUCUUAACCAUAAACUAUGCCGACUAGGGAUCGGAUGAUGUUAAUUUUUAAUGACUCAUUC
RNAcentral lists this ribosomal RNA (509 nucleotides) under uncultured fungus. RNAcentral's name for it is "SSU rRNA". It matches the Rfam family "Eukaryotic small subunit ribosomal RNA", at positions 569 to 1081 of the family's 1831-position model. RNAcentral also lists the same sequence under 1 other name. The record is from RNAcentral. Lineage: Eukaryota; Fungi.